GCGGAACUAAAUGCGUUGUCUCUGCUGCUUGGUGGCUUUUCCUUGCUCUCUCCAGGUAGGGGAUGGCAAAAUCCUCACUGGAGAAGUGGGGUUUUGUCCCUCCCCGCUCUCCAACAGGGGUUUUUGUGUAUAAAUAAUGUUGGGUUUGUUACAGACAGAUCCCGGUCUAAAUGGAAAGGGAUUUUGCUAGAUAUGUCAAUUAUUUGGUCUUGAGUUGUUUGCAUGUAGGUGUUUGGAUACGUUCUCUGUUUUCCAAGGGUUGUGAUUCAUGCCAUUUGUCAUGGAAAGAGAGACCCCGAGGGUCGAGGAGUUUGGCUCACUAGUCUUCGGACCAUGGCCUCCCCCUUCGGCUAGAUGAUAAUGAGAUGCCAUGUGGCUCGCUUUCUUCCUCUUCUUCCUCUUUUGCUUCUUCCCCUAUAAGUUUGAUCUAUCCAUGGUGCAAAGUUUGGUUGUUUGUUGUUCCUAAGGCUUGCUUAGCAAUUGGGGAAUGAAAUUUUUGUGAGAAAUCUCUCCUUGGUGGGCUAUAGCAGAAUUCUAUUCCUCUGAGCUUUACUUUGUCAUAAGCUUCCUCGGUUGGACUUGUAGGUUGAAGAUUUGAAUGAUGCCUGAAUGAUGCCUGGAAUAUACUCUGCUUUGGAGUCUUCUCAAUGCCACUGGUCUUCCAUAUGGGUGUGUAAUGCUAGGGUUUCUAAUUUUCUGUUGGGUCUCUGGCCUCCCCUCUGAUAAUGGGCUAGGAAGUCCUUAGGGCCCAUUUUAGUUACUCAACUCGUGUUUCUAAUUUGGCUUAUGAGUUUUAGGUAAUGUUCUUAAGCUAGGUUUCUAGUCUUAUGUUGUAAUGUUGGAUUCCAGUGAAUCCUUUAAUAUGUACGGGGUCUAGACUUAAUCUGCAAUGAAAUACUACCUAUUGAGAAAAAAAUAAAUAAAUAAAAUGAAGCCUUACAACCAACCUUAGCUGAGACUGUUCAAGACAUCCUGGCUUUUGUUGUUAUCUUUGAG
This 996-nucleotide unclassified non-coding RNA is filed under the name Hevea brasiliensis (rubber tree). Lineage: Eukaryota; Viridiplantae; Streptophyta; Magnoliopsida; Malpighiales; Euphorbiaceae. The record is from RNAcentral.